Molecule: unclassified non-coding RNA, 300 nt
Organism: Callithrix jacchus (white-tufted-ear marmoset)
Lineage: Eukaryota; Metazoa; Chordata; Mammalia; Primates; Cebidae
Rfam family: Metazoan signal recognition particle RNA
About the family: The signal recognition particle (SRP) is a universally conserved ribonucleoprotein. It is involved in the co-translational targeting of proteins to membranes. The eukaryotic SRP consists of a 300-nucleotide 7S RNA and six proteins: SRPs 72, 68, 54, 19, 14, and 9.
Source: Ensembl
GCUCAGCACCGUGGCAGGUGUCUGUGGUCCCAGCUUCUGGGGAGGCUGAGGUGGGAGGACCACUAGAGCCCAGGAGUUCUGAGCUGCAAUGCACUGUGUCUAUCGGGUGUUCACAUUAAGUUCGGCAUCAAUGUGGUGACCUCCUGGGAGUGGGGGACCAACAGCUUACCUAAGGAGAGACGAACUUGUCCAGGUUGGAAAUGGAGGAGGUCAAAACUCCCGUGCUGAUCAGCAGUGGGAUCACACCAGUGAAUAGCCACUGCACUCCAGCCUGGGUAACACAGUGAGACACUGCCUCUA